Molecule: ribosomal RNA, 253 nt
Filed under: uncultured bacterium
Lineage: Bacteria
Description: partial 16S ribosomal RNA
Rfam family: Bacterial small subunit ribosomal RNA
Source: RNAcentral
UACGGAGGGGGCUAGCGUUGUUCGGAAUUACUGGGCGUAAAGCGCGCGUAGGCGGAUCUGCAAGUCGGGGGUGAAAUCCCGAGGCUCAACCUCGGAACUGCCUUCGAUACUGCGGGUCUCGAGUCCGGGAGAGGUGAGUGGAAUUCCUAGUGUAGAGGUGAAAUUCGUAGAUAUUAGGAAGAACACCGGUGGCGAAGGCAGCCCCCUGGGCUAACACUGACGCUCAUGCACGAAAGCGUGGGGAGCAAACAGG